This 412-nucleotide ribosomal RNA is filed under the name uncultured archaeon. Its description in RNAcentral is "bacterial SSU rRNA". It matches the Rfam family "Archaeal small subunit ribosomal RNA", at positions 52 to 463 of the family's 1478-position model. The record is from RNAcentral.
UGCGAGUUUAGGGGCUCCUUCGGGAGCACCGGCGGACUGCUCAGUAACACGUGGACAACCUACCCUCGGGUGGGGGAUAACCUCGGGAAACUGAGGCUAAUACCCCAUAGGCCUCGGAUACUGGAAGGUUCCGAGACCGAAAGCUCCGGCGCCCGAGGAUGGGUCUGCGGCCUAUCAGGUAGUUGGUGGUGUAAAGGACCACCAAGCCUACGACGGGUACGGGCCCUGAGAGGGGGAGCCCGGAGAUGGACUCUGAGACACGAGUCCAGGCCCUACGGGGCGCAGCAGGCGCGAAACCUUCGCAAUGCGCGAAAGCGCGACGAGGGGAGCCCGAGUGCCCUUCCUUUCGGGAGGGCUUUUCUGGAGCCUAAAAAGCUCCAGGAAUAAGGGCUGGGCAAGACGGGUGCCAGCC